Long non-coding RNA from Cyanistes caeruleus (blue tit), 1612 nucleotides. Lineage: Eukaryota; Metazoa; Chordata; Aves; Passeriformes; Paridae. The record is from Ensembl.
CUCACAUAAAUUGAGGAUUCACAGAACGUUCAGGCAGCCCUGGAUGUGGCACUCAAGGACAUGUUUGAGCAGUCAACACCUGAAACUCUGCAAUGGGGACCCCAGGAGAUGACAGGGAGUGACUCAAGUCUCUGCCACCAAACGAGCAUCCCGUGACAGGCCAGGUGUGCUUGCUUUUUUUGGAAAGAAUACGACAAAAUUUCCUUUCCUUCGUGCUACCAGCAGGGCUGGAAUCCCAGAUCAGUCUGAGUGCAAAGGAUUGCUCAGUUCUACUCCUGAUUUCCAGUUGUGUUUCCUGGGAAGAGCUCCCUUCUUUUCCUGCCAGCACUCAGGAUCUCCCAGACUUUUUGGAGAAUUUGCAUUCAAUGAAAUCAGCCAGCUCAGACUUUUAAUUGGCUCAUCCAUGUUAAAUGUCUUUACAGGACUGAAACAACCUCUGCAAAGCUGCCAGUAGUGAUUUCAAGGUUAUCAUGAACUUUGAACACUCUUGAAACCAAAGUCCAACUUCAGCUCCUCAAGACCUGGCAGACAGCACUGGAUGCUUUUUUCCAGACAAUGCCUCCCUUCGUUCCAGGACUUCAAUUAAAAAGGAAGGUGUAAAAACCAGCAUCUUGUACAGAUAAAAAGAGAUGCUCACUUAUUUCCUGACAGACUGCAGAGGCCUUUGGGGGAUCCUGAAAGCAUCUACAGCCGGAAGGGAUGUGAGAGGUUUUCUGAUUAAAAAUUACCGUGAGGAUGUCAAAUAUUUCCACGUCCUCCUGAUAUCUGGGCUUGGUUACCCCAUAACUGAUCCAACAUAUCCAUCUUCAAUAGGCACAGGUAAAGGGGGAACAAAAGCAGAUAAAUAUGUUGUCAUUUAAAAUGCACAAUUUCCUGUAAAAUGUCCAUAUUGUUCUGCUCUGGAUGUUCCUUGAGAGACGCUGGAGUUGUCAGGAUGUGUUGCUGCCGUAUUUUAAAUGUAUCUCAUCAAAUGCAUUCCUGAUUUCAGGUGGGCAGUCAGGAAACUCUCUGCAUGAGAUCCUGAAUGCUUUUCCUUUCGUUUGUGACACACUGAGAGAUGUGAGAUCUGGAUCCUGUUGCUGAGAAGAUGUUGGGAUGGGAUUGAUGGAAAAGAGUGGAUUUUCACUGGAUAAUGGGAAUGGUUUGGGUGCCAGCAUCCCCAGGCCAGGCUGGGCUCUCCUUGCCUGUGUGGAGAGAGAAAAAUGGGAUUUAAAUUGGAUUUCUGAUUCAGUGGUGGGCACAGUGAGUAAAUCCUGUCAGUGUUCUGAGGUCUGGUAGGAAUUUAACAGGCUGGGAGAGCUGGAGGGACUCACCUGGAGAGGAGAAGCUCCAGGGAGAGCUCAGAGCCCCUUGCAGGGCCUGAAGGGGCUCCAGGAGAGCUGGAGAGGGACUGGGGACAAGGGAUGGAGGGACAGGACACAGGGAAUGGCUUUAAAAUGACAGUGGGUGGGUUUAGAUGGGAUUUUGGGCAGGAAUUGUUCCUGGCAGGGUGGGCAGGCCCUGGCACAGGUGCCCAGAGCAGCUGGGGCUGCCCCUGGAUCCCUGGCAGUGCCCAAGGCCAGGCUGGACAUUGGGGCUGGAGCAGCUGGGACAGGGGAAGGUGUCCCUGCCA